CUUGGCAGCUCCGCCCCUAACAUUUGUGAAGAUGAGCUGCCACUAACAUAGAUGUAAAACAAGCGCACCUUCUUACAUACGUCACAUACUGCAUGUGCAACGUCAUACGCCCUCGCGGAGAAGAGAGGUAGCGGCAUGGGCACGGUGACAGACAGCAGCGGGCAGGCAACACAUGGCUCCCAGCAGACAACGCCGGGCCCUCACAUCAUUAACACCUUCCGCUGCUCUCCGCCGGGACCCCCCGAGCGACCGGGGCCCCCCGUGCAAAGAGGGAAGACGGGGACCGAGGACGUAAAGGCUGAAGAUGCGACAGGCUUGGAGCCAGCAUGCAGGUAAACAAACGUGCGGAGGAAACUAUAACCCACGUCAAUGGUCGCCAGAAGACGACAAAAGGAGGGAGAGGCAAUCAGAAGUCCCAGUGGACAUAUUGAAGAAGAAUGGAUUUUAGCUACAGCAGCUCUCAUUUGUAUGUUAAUUUACACAAUUAACACAAAACACAAACGGGGGUCAAAGAAAAUAAAUAGCUACGUUUU
Nerophis ophidion (straightnose pipefish) is the source of this 533-nucleotide long non-coding RNA. RefSeq lists it as uncharacterized. The record is from RefSeq and is a predicted model, not a curated record. The transcript has 4 exons. NCBI's taxonomy places the organism in Eukaryota, Metazoa, Chordata, Actinopteri, Syngnathiformes, Syngnathidae.